Long non-coding RNA from Rhododendron vialii, 458 nucleotides. RefSeq lists it as uncharacterized. The transcript is spliced from 2 exons. NCBI's taxonomy places the organism in Eukaryota, Viridiplantae, Streptophyta, Magnoliopsida, Ericales, Ericaceae. The record is from RefSeq and is a predicted model, not a curated record.
GAAGAUAUUGCUCUUCAAUAGGUAAUCUGGUAUUUGUAUUGCAUCUCCCAGUAACUAUAUCCACAGAGCGAAAGCCAAGCUGUACAUGUCUGCUUUACAUGUCAACCAUGCUCUUAUUGCGUACUCUGCAAGCGGAUCUUACCGGGACCGGAGGCAAAAUAACAGAGGAGAGAGAGAGAGAGAAGUGAAGAAGGAGAAAAGAACAAUGCAAGGAAAAUAGUACUAGUGGUUGAGAGGGAGCCAGAGACAAACGGAGAAAGCUAUGAAUGGAGUAGGUGGACAUCGACACCCCUGUAGCCUAUAGGUAAAGCUUUGAAAUAUGAAGGGGCAAAAUUGGCAAAAAAAAUUGAUUGCUGCAGAAGGAGACAAGAUCAGCUGAUGUAAUGAGACCGCCUAGACGGACUGGAGAAGCAUAACAUGGGUCCUCCUCGAACAUAACGAGUUUCCAAGCACUGAGC